This 498-nucleotide ribosomal RNA is filed under the name uncultured bacterium. RNAcentral's name for it is "partial 16S ribosomal RNA". It matches the Rfam family "Bacterial small subunit ribosomal RNA", at positions 28 to 507 of the family's 1533-position model. The record is from RNAcentral.
GACGAACGCUGGCGGCGUGCCUAAUACAUGCAAGUCGAACGAAAGCGACCGGUGCUUGCACUGUUCAAGCUAGGGGCGCACGGGUGAGUAACACGUGGGUAACCUGCCUAUCAGAGGGGGAUAACAUCGGGAAACGGGCGCUAAAACCGCAUAAGCUUUUGAGCCGCAGGGGGGGAAGGGGAAAAGCGGCGGAAGGUGCUGCUGUCGCGGGGUCUCGGGGUGCUUGAGGUGGUUGGGGGGGUAACGGCUUACCAAGGUAGCGAUGCAUAGCCGACCUGAGGGGGGGAUCGGCCACAUUGGAACUGAGACACGGCCCAAGCUCCUACGGGAGGCAGCAGUAGGGAAUCGUCCGCAAUGGACGCAAGUCUGACGGAGCAACGCCGCGUGAGUGAAGAAGGUUUUCGGAUCGUAAAACUCUGUUGUUAGAGAAGAACAAGUGCUAGAGUAACUGUUGGCGCCUUGACGGUAACUAACCAGAAAGCCACGGCUAACUACGUG